This 253-nucleotide ribosomal RNA is filed under the name uncultured bacterium. Its description in RNAcentral is "partial 16S ribosomal RNA". It matches the Rfam family "Bacterial small subunit ribosomal RNA", at positions 524 to 776 of the family's 1533-position model. The record is from RNAcentral.
UACGUAGGGCGCAAGCGUUGCCCGGAAUCAUUGGGCGUAAAGAGCUCGUAGGUGGUCUGUUACGUCUGCUGUGAAAUCCUAGGGCUUAACCCUGGGCCUGCAGUGGAUACGGGCAGACUAGAGGUAGGUAGGGGAGAAUGGAAUUCCCGGUGUAGCGGUGAAAUGCGCAGAUAUCGGGAGGAACACCGGUGGCGAAGGCGGUUCUCUGGGCCUUACCUGACACUGAGGAGCGAAAGCGUGGGGAGCGAACAGG